AAAAAAAUCUUUUCAUCCAGAAUGAUGUUUGAAGUUCUUUUCGAUAAUUUUUUUGAAAAAUUCAUAAAUAAUUUUAGGGGUAGUUCACUCCGCACCGGGUUCCACCUAUAUGCCUACAUAGGCAGGUAGAUUUUGCUACGUUUGGAUAUAUAUGAUGCCCCGCGCUGUUUUUGACUGCUUCGCACGCGUACUGUAUAUAUACGAUAUGUACAGGUAUACGUGCACGUGUACAUAGAUUCACUUCGUGACAUGACGUUACGUAAUGAACAGGUAGUCGUACGUAACACAACUCGUUUGCGCGAUAUUGUUAAAGGCUCGAGCUGUCAGACGCGGGCUCGAACGUGCGUUUUUGUUUCCAAAUACACAGACACCCGCUGACUGAACAAGAAAAAUUAAUAAACUUCGAUUGCGAUUCCGGGAGUCAUUUAUACGAUUAUCGUACGAUUAUUGGUUUAUUGGUACCGUCCAGCCGUGUACUCCGCGGGGCUUUAAACUUUGUACUUUCGAUGACGAAAGUGCUCCUUGAAACUAGUGGCGACACGAUGGUUCCCGUUAAGGAAAUUAGACGUUCGCCGUUUAAUUAAAUCUUAACGAAGGCCCAACCGAGGCUUUCUUACCCGGAGCUGCGCCGAAGCAUACCGUAUGCGGUACGUUUCUAAAACGCCGGGCGAUAAAGCUGGUGAAAUAUUUGUUGCGGUCUGCUCGCCGCAGCAACCCGCGUUUCUUCCUCGGCAGCUACCACCGCCCGCGCGGAGAUCGGGCUUUGGAGAACGGUGGAGGUUCUGUGGUGAAGGUAGGUAUGUUGUACGGUACACGAGUACGUAUAUAAUAUACGUUCUGUGCAGAGACCGUGCUGGAGUUUCACCGACAUUGCGGUGUGGAGAGAGAGAGGACCGAGCUCUCUGACUCUGAAUCUGACUACGCCGCUGCCGCUGCCGCUGCCGCUGCUGGUGUUACUGCCGUUGCCGCUGCGUAUGGUGAAACGUUCGAGGAACGUUGAACAGUGACGGAAAGAGGACGGCCACGCGACCGACGGAGAAAUAUUAUUGGGAACGUGGGAGAGAGACGGAGGAAUAAACUUUUAUAUCCACCGCCUUACAGCUCCAGCUCUAAACAUACCCGGUGGAACAAAACGUUAUACGUAUACUCGUACCGUACAACGUCUGUACGUAUAUGCAUUCAGUGAGCGUGUUUUUGCGAAAGGAAAUAAAAAAAAAACCCAACUGCGUCAUUGGAAUCUUUUUUAAACGCCAUGUCGGUCUUCUUUUUGUUCAUUUAUUAUUUUCUUAUAUUCUCCAGGAUGUCUAGUUAUCUUUUAUUCGCCAAUACCUGCAGGAAAACCUACAUUCUCUUGUCGUCGAUGAUGAUGAUGAUGAUGAUGAUGAUGAUGAUGAUGAUGAUGAUGAUAAUUUUAUAUCGAUGCUGGGUGAGAGGAGCUCGGGGGAACCGAUGCGCUACUUUUCUCCGGAUGACGGUAGGGCGUAGGGCUAAACAAAAUUUUUCACGCGAAUCCAGAAGACAAUCAUUCGGGGUGAUUUUCUUUCACACCGAUGACGAUGUUUCAUAAUCCACCGAGUAUAUCGUGGACAAGGACGGUCUUUGGGACGCCAUGGUCUGCGAGAAGGACAGACUGUCAACUCCGUAAGCUGACAAGGUUGCAAGGUCAUCGUUCCGGGAGUGUGAUAAGAACCUAUUGCAGAAUGCAGGCAUCGGGCCAUAAAAAAAGACGGGGACUUUUUUGCAUGACCAUACCCGACGUUUCUACGACUCUGGGAAGAGUAUCUGGCAGAGAUGGACGAAUGACGGCUAAUCGCAUGCGGGAAUACCGGAGAACGGAAAUCGCGAUCGUAAGAGAGACCAGAGCAAUCGGUGGUAGAUCACCGAGUGUACAAAAAAUGUUGCACAUACGGAGGAAGGGGUAAAAAUUUGAGGCGAGGUGGUCUCCGAGGUUGACGGCUAAUCUAUGCCUCGGUAUACGCUGUAUUGUAGCAACGUCGCAAGUGUGUGGAUAUAUAUAUAUAUAUAUAUAUAUAUAUAUAUAUAUAUAUAUAUAUAUAUAUAUAUAUGUAUCUAUAUAGAUGUACAAAGUGGAAGCUGGGCUGACUGGUUACUUUCUAAAUUUAGGCGUCCAUACAGUCAGCAGGUGAUGAACAUUUUAGGAAGUUGGCCUACGAUGGCUUUCGUCGAAUAAAAAGUUCUCGUCAAACUUAUUCCUUAUUUUUCCCCCCCCCCGCGACGAUACGAAUAUCGACUCGGCUUAUUGUACGUAUACAGUGGUGUACGCGUGAGAUGGUCACGCGAUCGACGAAUACUUCCUUGUAUUCUUCGCAUUCCCAUAACUUCCGCAAGUAAUCUUACCGAGCUUUUUUUCACUCUACCCCGAAAGCUCCGACGCAACAACGAUCCCGCGUACACUGCACGAAAAGACGACGAACAUUACCGCGCUAAACACGUCGAGGAAUAGUUCCUGGCGCCGACCGACGAGCGUGAGGAGCGAAGUAGGUUUUAGGUCGAUCGGGCCAACGGUGCGGCCGCGUGUGCGUUGUGCGCAACGGUUCCAAUUUUCUACGUAGUAUCGGGUCUCGGUACCAUUUUUUUAGGCGUCUGCCCGCAUCCGACCGGUAUUUCAUACUCUUCAAAAUCGAUCUUCCCUUCGUCCCAUGCACAGGAGUGUCGAGGAUGAAUUUCCUUACUGUUCCUUGGUCGGUCGUAUGCGCACAGCAUACGAAAUACCGACGAAAUACAUGUAAAUCGCGCGUCCCGAAGUUAAGCUCGUGGUGCAAUCUGAACGGUAUAGGUAUAAUACGCAUGGGGUUAUCAGGCAGGCCAACUAACUACGUCAUAUCGCACUGUAUUGAAAAAAAGUGUACGUCCGCUACGACCGCGUAUAUAUUAUACGCUUCAAGUUUCAAUCCAGAAAUUUCCCCGAAGGCGAUUCCGUUCUGAUUUUGAGAACAAAGAAAAAAAAAAAAAAAACAACAACAACAAUUGAACGAAUAAAAAAUUAACGCUUCCGCAUUGUUCCAAUAAUUCCCAAACAAUAAUCAUUCUCGGUAUCGAGAUCAUGAUUGGCGGAUGGAUUUUCGUCAGGGCGAUUGAAACGAGUCUGUUUACUUAAAAGUUGGAACCAAUAGCAGAAGAGGGUGAAUUAUCACGGACCUUUGCGACCGUAAUGUGAGAAAAUUGUUGAUUUCUGCAUUAAAAGGUUGCGUGUUCAUUUCUCUUCUUUCUAUACAGAUACACGGUACUACAUACCGGUACAACUUUUGUUGUAAACAUUUCUCAAUUUCUCUAAUACGGCUGGUAGCGGGUGUGUAAGGUAUAUGCCAAACUGCCGUGAGUACAAGGGUGAAAAACUUUGAAUGGGACGCUCUUCAUGCGCUCGCAUAUACACAACGGAUCAAGUCUUCUAUACCUGUGAUAUACAUAUAUACAUAUAUCCAUAGCAAAAUAGAAUACGCGAGGGUAGGUCACGGUAGUUUGUGUCUGUGCACGCGUACGACUAUUCCUACUCACGCAUUAAUACCGUGACAAAUCAAGCACGCAUACAACACCAGGGAUGUUUCUAUCGGAGGCGCUACGUCCAGAGAAAGAUGAAAACAAGAAGAAGAUGUGUACCAAUCAUGCCGAUAACCACGGUGGGUAGACUCC
Molecule: long non-coding RNA, 3651 nt
Organism: Athalia rosae (coleseed sawfly)
Lineage: Eukaryota; Metazoa; Arthropoda; Insecta; Hymenoptera; Athaliidae
Exons: 4
Source: RefSeq, a predicted model, not a curated record